CACAAGGUUCACUCUUGAAGAACACAAUGGAAUCGUAACACAUUGGCUCACUUCUUCCAAACAGCUAGAGGGGAAACCAAAUCCUGUUACCUUCUUGAUACUGUCAGGCAGUCUAGGAGGAAUCUGGCACACCUGCUGGGUUGGAAUGCUUUGAUAUUACUCAGCUGCCUUCAAGUCACUCUCAAAUCAUACCAGGCCACUGUAUAUUUCACAAACCUUCCAACCAAUGAUUUUGGUUCUCAUGCAACCCUGAAAGUAUUAGACUGCCUUCGAAAAUGGUCAAACUUAAGGACUACUACUGCUCUUUACAUGUAUGGUAUCUCUUGCACACAGUCAAGUUUUGCAGUUGAGACAGAGGACUGCAGGCUCUCACUCCAAACUGCUAAAGAACAAAGGCACGGCAACAACCAAUCUCACGCAUACUGAAACAUUCAAUAUUCCCACCGUACAUACUCAGAUCAAGACAGAACUGAU
Molecule: long non-coding RNA, 474 nt
Organism: Neopsephotus bourkii (Bourke's parrot)
Lineage: Eukaryota; Metazoa; Chordata; Aves; Psittaciformes; Psittacidae
Exons: 3
Source: RefSeq, a predicted model, not a curated record